Molecule: ribosomal RNA, 497 nt
Filed under: uncultured bacterium
Lineage: Bacteria
Description: partial 16S ribosomal RNA
Rfam family: Bacterial small subunit ribosomal RNA
Source: RNAcentral
GAUGAACGCUGGCGGCGUGCCUAAUACAUGCAAGUCGAGCGAACGGACGAGAAUCUUUCUUCUCUUAUGUUAUCGGCUGACGUGUGAUUAACACGUGGAUAACCUACCUAUAAUACUUGGAUAACUUCGGGAAACCGGAUCUAAUACCGGAUAAUAUUUUGAACCGCAUUGUUCAAAAGUUAAAGACGUUCUUGCUGUCACUUAUAGAUGGUUCCGCGCUGCAUUAGCUAGUUGGUAAGGUAACGGCUUACCAAGGCAACGAUGCAUAGCCGACCUGAGAGGGUGAACGGCGACACUGGAACUGAGACACGGACCAGAAUACUACGGGAGGCAGCAGUAGGGAAGAUGCCGCAAUGGGCGAAAGCAUGACGGAGCAAAGCAGAGUGAGAGAUGAAGGUCUAAGGAUAGUAAAACACUGUUAUGAGGGAAGAAAAUAUGUGGAAGAAAAAGUGAACAGAGUGACGGUAACUAAAAAGAAAGCAACGGCUAACUACGUG